UGAGACCUCAGGUCACGGGGCUACCGCUGAAUUUAAGCUAUCAAUAAGCGGAAGAAAAGAAAUUUAACAAGGAUUCCCUUAGUAACGGCGAGCGAACGGGAUAAGCCCACCAUGAGUAUCGGUCGCCUUCGGCGUUCGAAUUGUAGUCCUGGAGAGCGGUCCUCAGCGGCGGACCGGGCCCAAGUCCCUGGAAGGGGGCCGGAGAGGGUGAAGCCCCGUUUUGCUCGGACCCUGCGCACCACGAGGCGCUGUCGGCGAGCUGGUGUUUGGAAUGCAGCCCCAAUCGGACGGUAAAUUCCGUCCAAAGGCUAAAAUAUUGGCGAGAACCAAGCGAACAAGACCGCGAGGGAGAAGAUGAAAAGGACUUUGAAAAGAGAGUCAAAGAGUGCUUGAAUUUCGGGAGGGAAGCGAUGGGGCCGCGAUGUGUCUCGGUCGGAUGUGGAAACGGUUGUGCCGGUCCGCCAAUGGACUCGGGAAAGACCGACGCGGAUGUGAUGGGGGCCAAGCCUGGCUGUUGAAUGCUCGCGGAGACUCAUCAUCACGAUGUGGCGGCAGCGCGCGCCGUUUCGGCUGCUACGGCACUUGCGCGCUCCUGGCGUCGGCCUGCUGGGCUCCCCAUUCGACCCGUCUUGAAACACGGACCAAGUCUGACAUGUGUGCGAGUAUCAACGCGAUAAACCCAUAAGCGCAAGGAAAGCUGAUUGGUGGGAUCCUCUUGUGGGUUGCACCGCCGACCGACCCCGAUCUUCUGUGAAGGGUUCGAGUGAGAGCAUACCUGUCGGGACCCGAAAGAUGGUAACUAUGCCUGAGCCGCGGCGAAGCCAGAGAAAACUCUGGUGAGGCCCGCACGAUACUGACGUGCAAAUCGUUCGUCUGCACUUGGGUUAUAGGGCGGCGAAAGACUAAUAGAACCGUCUAGUAGCUGGUUCCCUCCGAAGUUUCCUCAGGAUAGUGAGCCCGUGAGGCGAUUCUAUCGGGUAAAUCCAAUAUAGGCAUCGGGGCGCAACGCCCUCGACCUAUUCUCAAACUAAAUAGUAGGACGGUUUGUGGCUGCUUUGUGAGCAUGCCAUGGAAUCGAGAGCUCCAAAGUGGGCCAUUUUUGGUAAGCAGAACUGCGAUGCGGGAUGAACCGGAACUGGUUACGGUGCCAACUGCGCGCUAACCUAGACCCCACAAAGGGUGUUGUCGAUUAAGACAGCAGGACGGUGGUCUGGAAGUCGAAAUCCGCUAAGGAGUGUGUAACAACUCACCUGCGAGAUCAACUAGCCCCGCAAAUGGUGGCGCUAAAGCGCGAGACAUAUACCCGGCCGUUGGGCAAAGGCCAGCCCGAUGAGUAGGAGGGUGCGCGCUGCUGCAAAACCCGGGGCGCGAGCCUGGCGAGCGGUCGUCGGUGCAGAUUCUUGUGUAGUAGCAAUAUUCAAAUGAGAACUUUGAAGCCAAAGAGGGAAAGGUUCCAUGUGAACGACACUUGCACAUGGGUUAGUCGAUCCUAAGGACGGGGAAGCCCGUCUGAUAGCGCUCUAAGCGCGUACACCGAAAGGGAAUCGGGUUAAAAUCCUGAACCGGGAUGGUGGCUGACGCAACGUUAGGGAGUCCGGAGACGUUGCGGGGCCCGGAAGAGUUUAUCUUUUCUGUUAACAGCCUGCCCACCCUGGAAACGGCUCAGCCGGAGGUAGGUCCAGCGCUGGAAAGAGACCGCACGCGUGGUGUCCGGUGCGCCCCUUUGGGCCUUGAAAAAUCGGAGGACGAGUGCUUCCAUGCCCGUCGUACUCAUAACGCGCUCAGUCUCCAAGUUGAACAGCCCUUGGUCGAUGGAACAAUGUGGCAAGGGAAGUCGCAAAAUGGAUCCUACCUCGGAAAGAUUGGCUCUGAGGGCUGGGCACGGGGGUCCCAGUUCCGAACCCGUCGGCUUUUGGUGGACUGCUUGAGCUGCUCCCGCGGCGAGAGCGGGUCACCGCGUGCGGUCGGUGACGGAUUGGAACGGGCCUUCGGGGCCUCUUCCCAAGGCAUCGAACAUCAACUCAGAACUGGACGAACAAGGGAAUCCGACUGUUCAAUUUUCCCACUGUCCCUGUCUAAUAUCCACGGAAACCACAGCCAAGAACGGUUGGCGGAAUCAGCGGGAAAGAAGACCCUGUGAGCUUGACUCUAGUCCGACUUUGUGAAAAUGCACUUGAGAGGUGUAGGAUAAGUGGGAGCUGGAAACAGCGAAAGUGAAAACCACUACUUUAACGUUAUUUACUUAUUUCCGUUGAAUCGGAGGCGGGGCGCUGCCCCUCUUUUGGAUCCAAGGCUGAUUCGGUGGCCCAAAUCCGGGCGGAAGACAUGUCAGGUGGGGAGUUUGCGCAUGGGCGGGCACAUCGUUAAAAGAUAACGCAGGUGUCCUAAGAUGAGCUCAACGAGAACAGAAAUCUCGUGUGAACAAAAGGGUAAAAGCUCGUUUGAUUCUGAUUCUCAGUUACGAAUACGAACCGUGAAAGCGUAGGCCUAUCGAGCCUUUAGUCCUAUACGGAAUUUUGAAGCUAGAGGUGUCAGAAAAGUUACCACAGCAUAAACUGGCUUGUGGCAGCCAAGCGUUUCAUAGCGCGUUGCUUUUUUGAUCCUUCGAUGUCGGCUCUUCUAUCAUGUGAAGCAGAAUUCACCAAGUGUUGGAUUGUUCACCCACCAAUAAGGAACGUGAGCUGGGGUUUGACCGUCGUGAGACGGUUAGUUUACCCUACUUAUGAGUGUCGGCAAUAGUAAUUCAACCUAGUACGAGAGGAACCGUUUGAUUCGCACAAUUGUCAUCGCGGCUGGUUGAAAGCCAGUGGCGCUAAGCUAACGUGCGUUGGAUUAUGACUGAACGCCUCUAAGUCAGAAUCCGGCUAGAAGCGAUGCUGUGCCCGUCGUUCGCUUUGCCGACCAGCAGUAGGGGGCCUUGCCCCCCAGAGGCAGUUGUCGUUGGUGGACCUCGUAAGGCGAUGAGCCUUGCGGACACCUUGAAACGCAAUUCCUAUUGAGCGGCGGGUAGAAUCUUUUGCAGACGACUUAAAUACGCGACGGGUAUUGUAAGUGGCAGAGUGGCCUUGCUGCCACAAUUCCACUGAGAUUCACCUAGUCGCUUCGAUUCGU
This 3111-nucleotide ribosomal RNA is filed under the name Cicer echinospermum. RNAcentral's name for it is "eukaryotic LSU rRNA". It matches the Rfam family "Eukaryotic large subunit ribosomal RNA". Lineage: Eukaryota; Viridiplantae; Streptophyta; Magnoliopsida; Fabales; Fabaceae. The record is from RNAcentral.